Molecule: ribosomal RNA, 253 nt
Filed under: uncultured bacterium
Lineage: Bacteria
Description: partial 16S ribosomal RNA
Rfam family: Bacterial small subunit ribosomal RNA
Source: RNAcentral
GACAGAGGGUGCAAACGUUGUUCGGAAUUACUGGGCGGAAAGCGAGUGUAGGCGGUCUUCUAAGUCGGAUGUGAAAGCCCCGGGCUCAACCCGGGAAGUGCACUCGAUACUGGAAGGCUAGAGUAUCGGAGAGGUUGGUGGAAUUCUCGGUGUAGAGGUGAAAUUCGUAGAUAUCGAGAGGAACACCGGUGGCGAAGGCGGCCAACUGGACGAAUACUGACGCUGAGACUCGAAAGCGUGGGGAGCAAACAGG